CCUGGUCCCUUUAUAUUACUUAACGGUCUUAGGUCUUGUUGCCAUUAGGCUAAAUUGAACAAAUCCUUGGAAACUUACUUUGUUAACUGGGAGGAAAGGGGCAAAUGUCAUUCAUUAAACAUUAAUUGUUUUUGCUUUUCAUAUCCCACUUUGCAGAAUCUCUAAGGGGAAUAUACUGAACACUAAAUAUGUUUUAAUUAAAACAGAGAGAGAAAGCCAUAAUGUCAAGCUGAAAGAGAAGAGUUUUACUUAGUUCUUCAGAGUAAUGGAGCUUUAAGAUCAUUUGCAUUAGGAGGACCAUUCUAACCCUGAUAUUCUUAGGGCUUUCAGCUGAUCAGCAGUCAGUGUGUGUGAACUACUUGCACCAUAUUUAACGCCAGCUUGCUUGAAACAAGGACCUUAGCAUUAAAAACAAAAAUACAGCAAUGUCUACCAAACUUCAGAAGUUACCCUCUUUGCAGACAAAAGUGUCUUCCUUUUUUUCCCUCAGCCGAUGAAAUACCUGGGGCUUCCCAGACUGCUGGAGUGGCUUUAGCUCAUCACAGAUGGUAGAAAACACAGUGUUUGUUCCCUCAGAUGACAGCUGCUUUCUACUGCUUACUGCUGUGAGGGGUCAACUUGUGAUGUCCAGCUACAUGUCCCGAGGUGCAGUUCUUACAGUCAGAACCCAGACAGACAAAGCUGGAUACCUGUAUGAUUCACACACAUCUGUAGGAUGUUGCUGCCCUCCAUUUGUACAACGGCCCACAUGGCAGCUGCCUUCGUACAGGUUGGAAGAGUCACUGGAGUGAACAAGUGCCCUGAUUAAACUCUUCUUCUCUUCCAGUCCCCAGCAAAUCUUUGAAUCCUGAGGAGAUGAUAAUUAAUGCAGAACUUUAAAUAGCUUUUCAGAGAAGCAAUUCAGGUUGCAUGUAGUAGACACAACUUUCAUAAGUAUAUGGAAAACAGAUUUACUCUUUAGAAGAAGGUUAAAUUUCAGUCUUAAUUACAAAUGUCUCUUUUUUGUACAACAAUUUUUAAAUUAUAACUCCCUGAAGAAUAAAUAUUCCAUAAGACUGGAUAACA
Molecule: long non-coding RNA, 1065 nt
Filed under: Anas platyrhynchos platyrhynchos (common mallard)
Lineage: Eukaryota; Metazoa; Chordata; Aves; Anseriformes; Anatidae
Description: lncRNA (ENSAPLG00000028292.1)
Source: RNAcentral